Molecule: long non-coding RNA, 761 nt
Organism: Pogonomyrmex barbatus (red harvester ant)
Lineage: Eukaryota; Metazoa; Arthropoda; Insecta; Hymenoptera; Formicidae
Source: RefSeq, a predicted model, not a curated record
AGUCCCUAGACCGCGCCUGCGCACAUUGCACGUUGCAACAGCUGAUCGCCGUGCGCAGCGUCGACGCAACAGCUGUCGUUCGGAUGAUCGUCAAAUUUAGAAUCGUCGCCACCGCCACCGCUUUCGUUCAGCUUCCCCUCCCACGACAAAUUUAGUCAGGGGAAGGGGGGAGUGAGAUAAAGAGCAAGGUUCGAGAUUAAAUCGAGGUUGGCCAUCACUGUGAAAUCGUUGGCCGUUGUGUGCACUGAGCGUAAUAUUUAAAAAUAAAAAGACUAAAAAUAGUAUCAUGUAUAUAUAUAUAUAUAUAUACAAAAAACAUAACAUUUUUAUAUAUUUAAUAUAAGUUAGUAGCGAUAAUGACGACGAUAAUAUGACGUGAUAAUUUUCACCGUGCAACUUGUUUUUUUUAAAGCUUCAAAGGCUAAAAUGUUUUCUUUAAUUCUUGCGUUAUGAAAAGACUUUGCGAUACAAUAUUUGACAAAAAAGUGUGUUUUAAAUUCACAUUUAUAUAUCCAUAUUAUCCGAUAUUAAUAAUAAUAGUAAUAACAGUGUUUAUAUGUGCACUGUUCUGACAAUAUCGAGAUAGCUCUUGAAUUGAAAUAAACAAAAAUUUCUGAUAAUCACGUGAAUGAAAUUGCAAUUUUUGUCCCUUAUGCAUUACUCAACGCAACACAGAAUUAUGAGAACAAAAAAAAUAUCAAUUUGUACAUGCUUAUUCCGCGCACACAAUAUAUGAAUAAAAAUAAUACGCCACGUACGUC